GUCAGAGACUAAGCAAAUUUGAAUAGACCUCUGAGUAAAUAUUUCCCUUUUGGAGUUUUCAGGACUUUCUGUCCCGCUGUUUUAUGGGGAAGGCGGGGGAAGACACGCAGACAUCAAUUCGACUAAACAAAGUUUAUCAAUAAUAUUAAAAAUAAAAAGUAAAGCCCCUUUCUGAACAUUAUGGCUUAUUCCUUGAUUAUCCUUCUUAAUGCCACAGCGUGGCUAUCUCAGAACAAAAUUAGAGACUAACAGUAAAUUUACUUUAAUUUUUACGAAUAAUUCUCUAUCAAUGUAAAAAUUUUUCAUAUACGCGUGUAUGAAAGAAAAACACUACUAUUUUUCCACAUUCGUGAAAACUGCUUAACUGGGACAGUAACCGAGCGGCCAGUGAAUAUUUAAAAUACUGUAACCGACGAAUACGUAUGCUUCUAGGACCACGUGGAAUCUUUCCCAUGGAUUUCACCAUGUUGCCCAGGCUGGUCUCAAAACUUCUGAAUUCAAGCAGUCCGCCCGCCUCUGCCUCACGCCUGUAAUCCCAGCACUUUGGGAGGCCCAGGUGGGAAGAUCACGAGGUCAGGAGCUUGAGACCAGCCUGGCCAACAUGGGGAAACCCCAUCUCUACUAAAAAUACGAAAAUUAGCCAGGCGUGGGGGCAGGUUCCUGUAAUCCCAGCUACUCAGGAGGCUGAGGCAGGAGUAUCGCUUGAAACCGGGAAGUGGAGGUUACAGUGAGCUGAGAUCACAUCGUUGCAGUCCAGCCUGGGUGACAGAGCAAGACUCCG
RNAcentral lists this long non-coding RNA (781 nucleotides) under Homo sapiens (human). RNAcentral's name for it is "non-protein coding lnc-FCGR3B-4:1". Lineage: Eukaryota; Metazoa; Chordata; Mammalia; Primates; Hominidae. The record is from RNAcentral.